Molecule: long non-coding RNA, 3305 nt
Filed under: Homo sapiens (human)
Lineage: Eukaryota; Metazoa; Chordata; Mammalia; Primates; Hominidae
Description: HSALNT0303389
Source: RNAcentral
GCUCCCCGGCGGCGGCCGGUGGGCAGAAAGACCGAAACCCACUCACGGCCGCCUGCCGAAUCGCGGCUCUGCUGUUUGUGGGGCGUGCUAGAAACGUGGUCCUAAAAAGAAUGGCGUCCAUUUACAUAAUGCUUUGUUUGCGUUUCGCAAGUUUCUUUCGGUUAAAGCCACAGAAACCCCACCUCCUGCCCUUGUGUCGUUUCCACCGCGGCACCCUUUUCCGACAUUAGAAACAAUAGUGUACGCCUGUGGAGGCCUCGUUUGUUCAGGGGCUGCCGGCCAGGGCUUCAGGACGUUUCUGCGGCUUUCCCCGCGCGGCCUGGGCUCCCGCGGCUGCUUUUCGGGCCCAUGGGCGCAGCCACUGCGCCAGGCUCAAGGGGGGCGGCCCCGUCAGGGCCCGCCAUCUUGGAAGGCCUUUUUUGCCGGUUCUUCCCGCUGAGGAAGUGUCGCUCAAGACGCUGGCCUAUGAGUUGUGAUUUCUGCCUUUUCCCCUUCCUCCUUGGGCUAAGCCAGACCAGAAAGGGCCCCGUGCGCAACGUGCUUCACAAUCUCUCAGGGAAAGCGGCUAACGUGGCGCUACUCCGCCUCCCCUGUUCCUUACCCUUGGGGCGGCCGCCAUGUUUCCUGAACACAAAAUGGCGACACGUGGUUAGCAUUCGUCGCCAACGAGAAAUUGGGGUCGGCCCGAAAGCUCUAGAAUGCACCCCUCUUCCUCCCCGGGGCCUUCCACCUCCGCGAGUUUUAUGACUUAAAAAAGCCCACAGGCUGGUCUGAAGGUCGGAGGCCUAAUUUUAACGCGUUUUCCUCCCUUUAAUUUGAAACGGGAACGCGAAUGACUGUAAAAUGUGGGCACAAUAUUUAAUCUCUCGCCUUUUUAAAGCUUAAUAGUGGAUAAUAGGGGGGCAGUAUCAAGGGAUAAUUUGGGUCCCCACAGUACCAAAGCAUUUAGAAACCUCUGUUUAAUUUAAGGAAUGAGAUAAGUUACUGCUUUUCUAGACUUCCUAGCAUGGGCUGUUGUGCUGGAGAGAACGAGAGCUACGAAGAGACUACAGUGCCUCUGACUUUUUCAUAGGACAGUUGGCCGAGGAAGACAAACAUAAAGAUGAAGUGCUUAAUUCAAGGUCACACAAUGUCGGGGAUGGACCUCCAGAUUUCCUUACUGGUGAGACGUGGUCUUGUAACACAGUGGUUAAGAAUGUGACUUUGGAGCCAGCCUGCUAGGGGCUGAAUUCUGACUCAGCCAUUUACUAACUGUGUGACCUUAGGGAGGAGGACCUGGUUGAUAGAAGAAUUUAUCUCGUAGUCUUAACAUCCACUGUAAUUCCAAACUUUGAGGACGAUAGAGAUCAGUGGGCUUUGACUGCCCAGCAUGCAGUCUCCAUUCUUAGGUGGGUUCCCAAGCCUGUAAAAUGUAAGCCUUAUGCUGCUGAGGGCCAUCUUGCCACCCUGAGGGAAACGCUGCCUGAGAAUGAAACAAGCAUAAGUAAAAGCUGAGCUGUGAGAUGGAGCAAGAUGAAGGCCACAUGACAUCUUUGGAGCACCUGGAUCUAACUGUGCCUUAAGCUAGUCUAACCCUGAACAUUUCAUCAUUUCAUUGACAUGAGCCCAGGUUUUCUUUUUUUUUGGAUGGAGUCUUGCUCUGUCGCCCAGGCUGGAGUGCAGUAGCUCAAUCUCGGCUCACUGCAAGCUCCACCUCCCGGGUUCACGCCAUUCUCCUGCCUUAGCCUCCCAAGUAGCUGGGACAACAGGCGCCCACCACCACUCCCAGCUAAUUUUUUGUAUUUUUAGUAGAGACGGGGUUUUACCAUGUUAGCCGGGAUGGUCUUGAUCUCCUGACCUCAUGAUCCGCCCGCCUCGGCCUCCCAAAGUGCUGGGAUUACAGGUGUGAGCCACUGCACCCAGCCCUCAGGUUUUCCCUUUUUUUACCCCUCCUUUUGAAAAUUUGAUGUGGAAUUUUGCCACCUGCAGCCAGAAGAGUUUUAACUAAUCAGUGCCAUAAAUUUUAUAUAGUUCUCCUUGCAAAAUGUGGAUCAGCCUUUCUCAGCAAAUCCUUUGUCAUAAAGUGCUGAAUUGUAAGUUUGUCAUGAGAAUCACAUGAGAUCAUGCAUGUGAAGAACCUGGCAUUAUCCUCCUCAUAGAAAAAAACCAGUAAAUAUUAACUACAGGAAGCAAGGAAGGAGUGGGGUGAGGGGAAGAAGAAGGGGUACUGAUUUAAAAGAACCCUGGAGUCCUAAGGAUAAUCUAGGAACCCUCAGACCCAAUCCGAUACCCCUAUUCUAAAUGCUCCUAGUGCCCUGUACCUUCCCCUCAUAAGCCUUCAUUAUCAUUGUAAUGAUAUGUUUAUGUAAUAUUUUGAUUAAUGUCUCUCCUUCACUGACCUAGCAGUUCUAGCAGGGCAGUGAUUUUGCUGUGUUGCAUCCCCAGCACCUAGUCUGGUAUGUGGCAUUCAGCAUAUGUUUAUUGAAUGAAUGGCCAUGUGGUUAUUCAGAUCCUCCUUGAUUAUUGGGGUUAGGAUUGUGGCAGAAGUGGCAAAAUCAGGGAGAGUAGUCCCUGUCCCCUCUGUAUCUUAUACACUGCCCACACUCCCAACACACAUACACAUACAGAGAAUUUUGUCUCAAUUAGAUAAUUAACUUCUGCUUGGUUGUAAACCAAACCACUGGUUCUUAAACUUUCAUUGGAUCAUUUUAUUGAAGAAUUAAAUAGUGUGGUUCUGGCCUAAUGUCUGGAAAGCCUUGCAGAGGAGUGGAUUAGGUCUUUGUGAUAAACAGGCAGCCUUCCCUGCUCCUGUGUCUUUAUAAAAUCUAUUUAACUGGAGUAGUCCACCCUCCCUCAGGCUCUUACAGGAAUAUGUUGGAGGCUGUAGGAAGGUGGGAAACCGAGAGGGAAAGGACUGGGCCGCUGGAGACUUCACUCAUUCCCUAGCAAGAAACAAAAGCAGUAAAAGGUGGCCCGAGGACAACCUGAAGCUCACUCCUUCAGCACUUUUGGCUGGAGGUCACUUGUUGGAGCCCCACUCAGAGCUCAGCACACCACCCCACCAGCAGCCUCCUCCUCCCAGCUGAGGCUGCAUUUCAUCCCUUCCCCCAGCCUGCUUUCCCUGAGAUAGGGGAGUGUUUCCCAGGGCCCAUGUGACUUCCACUGGCAAGUGACGAUUACCAAUGGUUUACUAGUCAGUGAAACUACCAAAGGCUUUUGUGCUGUAGUAAUCCUUUUCCUGUUUAAAACUCUGGGGAUUUUCUAAUGUUGCCAAUAGUUUUUCAAGUCAGCAAUUACUGUGUGGAUUAUGUAAUGGCUCGGUAUUA